RNAcentral lists this ribosomal RNA (604 nucleotides) under Pectobacterium carotovorum. RNAcentral describes it as "bacterial SSU rRNA". It matches the Rfam family "Bacterial small subunit ribosomal RNA", at positions 61 to 653 of the family's 1533-position model. Lineage: Bacteria; Pseudomonadati; Pseudomonadota; Gammaproteobacteria; Enterobacterales; Pectobacteriaceae. The record is from RNAcentral.
GUCGAGCGGUAGCACGGAAAGAGCUUGCUCUCUGGGUGACAAGCGGCGGACGUUAGAGUAAUGUCUGGGAAACUGCCUGAUGGAGGGGGAUAACUACUGGAAACGGUAGCUAAUACCGCAUAACCUCGCAAGAGCAAAGAGGGGGACCUUAGGGCCUCUCGCCAUCAGAUGUGCCCAGAUGGGAUUAGCUAGUAGGUGAGGUAAUGGCUCACCUAGGCGACGAUCCCUAGCUGGUCUGAGAGGAUGACCAGCCACACUGGAACUGAGACACGGUCCAGACUCCUACGGGAGGCAGCAGUGGGGAAUAUUGCACAAUGGGCGCAAGCCUGAUGCAGCCAUGCCGCGUGUGUGAAGAAGGCCUUCGGGUUGUAAAGCACUUUCAGCGAGGAGGAAGGCGGUAAGGUUAAUAACCUUAUCGAUUGACGUUACUCGCAGAAGAAGCACCGGCUAACUCCGUGCCACCAGCCGCGGUAAUACCGAGGGUGCAAGCGUUACUCGGAAUGACUGGGCGUAAAGCGCACGCCCGCGGGCUGUUAACUUGGAUGUGAAAUCCCCGGGUUUAACCUGGCAACUGCAUUCAAAACUGACUGGCUAUAGUCUUGUA